RNAcentral lists this ribosomal RNA (171 nucleotides) under uncultured Aspergillus. Its description in RNAcentral is "partial 26S ribosomal RNA". Lineage: Eukaryota; Fungi; Ascomycota; Eurotiomycetes; Eurotiales; Aspergillaceae. The record is from RNAcentral.
AGUGAGCGGCAGAGCUCAAAUUUGAAUCUGGCCCCUCCGGGGCUCCGAGUUGUAAUUUGAAGAGGAUGCUUCGGGUGCGGCCCCCGUCUAAGUGCUCUGGAACGGGCCAUCUGAAAGGGUGAGAAUCCCGUCUGGGAUGGGGAGUCCCCUCCCCGUUGGACCUUCCUUCAC